Molecule: ribosomal RNA, 497 nt
Filed under: uncultured bacterium
Lineage: Bacteria
Description: partial 16S ribosomal RNA
Rfam family: Bacterial small subunit ribosomal RNA
Source: RNAcentral
GAUGAACGCUGGCGGCGGGCCUAAUACAUGCAAGUCGAGCGAACGGACGAGAAGCUUGCUUCUCUGAUGUUAGCGGCGGACGGGUGAGUAACACGUGGAUAACCUACCUAUAAGACUGGGAUAACUUCGGGAAACCGGAGCUAAUACUGGAUGAUAUUUUGAACCGCAUGGUUCAAAAGUGAAAGACGGUAUUGCUGUCACUUAUAGAUGGAUCCGCGCUGCAUUAGCUAGUUGGUAAGGUAAUGGCUUACCAAGGCAACGAUGCAUAGCCGACCUGAGAGUGAGAUCGGCCACACUGUAACUGAGACACGUUCCAGACUCCUACGGGAGGCAGCAGUAGGGAAUCUUCCGCAAUGGACGAAAGCCUGACGGAGCAACGCCGCGUGAGUGAUGAAGGUCUUCUGAUCGUAAAACUCUGUUAUUCGGGGAGAACAUAUGUGUAAGUAACUGUGCACAUCUUGACGGUACCUAAUCAGAAAGCCACGGCUAACUACGUG